This 1392-nucleotide ribosomal RNA is filed under the name Triticum aestivum (bread wheat). RNAcentral's name for it is "partial small subunit ribosomal RNA". Lineage: Eukaryota; Viridiplantae; Streptophyta; Magnoliopsida; Poales; Poaceae. The record is from RNAcentral.
AUGGACGCCGCCGGCCCGCCGCCCGCGGCCUCCGGCAGCGGCAGGUCCUUCCUCGGGCUGUCCACCGCCGCCGAGGCCGCGCUCGCGGGCGCCGCCGUCCUGCUCCUCGUCGUCGCGGCCGCGUCGAUCGCCGCGUACCUGGCGCGCCGGCGCGGGGGCGGGCGCGGGGCCAAGCCGCAGUCCUCGCGCGUCGACCACGCGCUCUCCUCCGGCUCGCUCCUCCCGACCUCCACGCCCAAGCAGCAGAAGUACGCCGAGGUCGGGGCCGAGGUCGGCACCAGCUCCUCCGACGUGGCCAGCUCGUCCGCGGCGGCCAGCUCCCUGGAGUCGCCGGUGCGGAAGAAGCCGGAGAGGAUCAGCGGGGGCGGGGCGGCGCCGGGGGUGGAGAUGGGCUGGGGGAGGUGGUACGAGCUGGAGGAGCUGGAGGCGGCCACGGGCGGGUUCCGCGAGCCGAACGUGGUCGGCGAGGGAGGCUACGGCACGGUGUACCGCGGCGUGCUCGCCGGCGGCGAGGUGGUCGCCGUCAAGAACCUCUUCGAUCACAAGGGGCAGGCCGAGCAGGAGUUCAAGGUGGAGGUUGAAGCCAUCGGCAGGGUGAGGCACAAGCACCUCGCCGGCCUCAUCGGCUACUGCGCGGAAGGGCCUAAACGGAUGCUCGUGUACGAGUUUGUUGAGAACGGCAACUUGGAGCAGUGGCUGCACGGGGACGUCGGCCCCGUCAGCCCGCUGACAUGGGAGAUCCGUCUCAAGAUCGCCAUCGGGACAGCCAAAGGUAUCGCGUACUUGCACGAGGGGCUGGAGCCCAAGGUGGUGCACCGGGACAUCAAGUCCAGCAACAUCCUCCUGGACAAGAAAUGGAACCCCAAGGUGUCUGACUUCGGCAUGGCCAAGGUCCUCGGCUCCGGCUCCAGCUACGUGACGACCCGUGUGAUGGGCACGUUCGGGUACGUGGCCCCGGAGUACGCGUCGACGGGGAUGCUGAACGAGAGCAGCGACAUCUACAGCUUCGGCGUGCUGCUGAUGGAGCUCAUCUCCGGGAGGAGCCCGGUGGACUACAACCGGCCGGCGGGGGAGGUGAACCUGGUGGAGUGGUUCAGGGGGAUGGUGGGGAGCCGGCGCGUGGAGGACCUGGCGGACCCGCGCAUCGUGCCGGCGCCGGCGCCCAGGGUGCUCAACCGGGUGCUGCUGGUGUGCCUCCGCUGCAUCGACUCCGACGCGCACAAGCGGCCCAAGAUGGGCCAGAUCGUGCACAUGCUCGAGGGCGACGAGUUCCCCUUCCGCACGGAGCACCGAUCGCCGCGGGCGGCUCACCGGCCGUCGACGAACGCGCGGACGUCGCUUCUGGCCGAGAAGGCCGGAGCCGACGACGCCGACAAAUCCACGUGGAGAUGA